AAGUCGUAACAAGGUUUCCGUAGGUGAACCUGCGGAAGGAUCAUUAUUAAAACAAAACAUAUUUAUAAUUUAUUUAUUAUUUAUAUGUUGGUAUUAAUAAAUACACACAUUUAGAAAUGUAAUUUUUCUUUUUGAAAUUUAAUUUUUAGCAUUUCUAAAUUAUUUAAAAAAUUAAAUAUCAUUAUCGACUGAUUUUAAAAUUUAAUUUUAAAUAAAGUUGAAAAAAAUAUAUAUAAAACGUUUUUGGUCUUACAAAAGAAAAGUCUUAAAAUAACUUUUAACGAUGGAUCUCUUGGCUCCUA
RNAcentral lists this unclassified non-coding RNA (302 nucleotides) under fungal sp. RNAcentral describes it as "partial internal transcribed spacer region". The stretch from base 1 to 46 matches the Rfam family "Eukaryotic small subunit ribosomal RNA", at positions 1786 to 1831 of the family's 1831-position model. Lineage: Eukaryota; Fungi. The record is from RNAcentral.